This is a non-coding RNA of Sturnus vulgaris (Common starling), 742 nucleotides long. NCBI's taxonomy places the organism in Eukaryota, Metazoa, Chordata, Aves, Passeriformes, Sturnidae. The record is from RefSeq and is a predicted model, not a curated record.
UCUUCAAAACGCCAAUAUUUCAAUUUACAAAUUUCAAUUUCUCUGCUUCUAGCCUCUGCUGAGCAGCAAAACAAUGGACCACAUGGAAAAAACCCCAAAGCCUCAAGUAUUUUUAUGCUGGCUUCAUUUUGUGAUCUGGCACACUGUGGGCUCAGCCAAGCACCAGUGAAAGAGAUACAGCAUGAGGAUUUAGCUGGAUCUGGUGUACAGGCUGCUUCUUUUGCAAGGAUGAACUAUCUCCCUUCCCAGCUUUCCAUCUUCUCCAUUUACUUCCUUCCUGGCAGAGCUGGAGUGCCUCAAGUGAACUAAUGAAGAUUCUAUUGCUUUCUUCUACUGCAGAACAGCUUUCUGGCAUGCUAGCCAAGGAACCUGUCUGAAAAUAUAUUACAGAGUGAACCUGCAAGGAGAAAAAAAGAAAAAAAACCCUACUGCAGCUCUGCCAGAGCCUCCUGGCCCUGCUUUAGCAGCUCUGCCUCCCUGUAGAUGCUCAAAUGGCUAUGUAGAUAAAGAAAAUGUAUACUGCAACAGGCAGAAAAAUUCUACAGCUUGCGUGUUACAAAGUACUUUGAUAUGUUUUUAUUACUGUAAUUCAUCUGCUCCUGGGGGAGAAGGACAAACAAGAACCAAAGUUCUAAGGUUUUAUCAAGGGCUUAUGCUUCAAUGGACUUUUGAUCCAAAGCAAUAACACGACUGGUUGUAGAAAGAUCGAAAUUUAAAUAAAAUAGUUAAUGAUUUUCGUUCA